GCCGGGCAUCGUGGCGGGUGCCUGUAGUCCCAGCUACUCAGGAGGCUAAGGCAGGGGGAUCGCUUGAACCCAGGAGGCGGGAGUUGCAGUGAGCCGAGGUCACACCACUGCACUCCAGCCUGGGUGACAGAGUGAGACUCCAUCUCAA
Molecule: small RNA, 148 nt
Filed under: Pongo abelii (Sumatran orangutan)
Lineage: Eukaryota; Metazoa; Chordata; Mammalia; Primates; Hominidae
Description: Metazoan signal recognition particle RNA (ENSPPYG00000035789.1)
Source: Rfam by way of RNAcentral